UCGCUGCUGCCGUCGAUUUGUAGUUGCUGCGAUUGGAGCCACUAGCGGGGGUGAGUUGCUACUGCCUUGUUGCCGUCCUAAUCAUAUUCAACGUCCACUGCCCUGAGCUGUUUCUGCCCUUCAGUUUGUUGAGUUCGGAUUCCUUGUGCUACUGUAACUGUCAUUACUGAGGUGGGAACCAACGUUUCUGUUUGGCUGCUGCUGAAGGUCUUCCACCAUCACUGGAGCUGCCCAGAAUCAUCGUGGAAGCUGCCAAGAUAUAUGGUUGAUUUCUAAUUAUGCCAAGACAUCAUCACUAAUUAAGUUUUAUGUUGAUUUUUUUUUAUUUUAUUUUAUGUCCUGACUGCAUUAUAACUUGUGAAUUCCAUUUCCUUUUUGAUAUUCAAUGUUUUGACAAACUGCCAUGGUUUAUAAUCUAUUGAUACUUGCCAUUUUCAUGCUUAAUCAGUCUGAUUUAGAGAUAUUUUGGAGCUGACUAAGGCUUUUAACAUGAAAGAGACUGAGGCAAAGGCAUAUAUAUAUUUAAAAUCCUGAUUACUUUCCUUUAAUGCAUCAGCUUGCUCUUUUUAUUUUGUUAUGCUUCUGUUUUGUGUUGCCUCCUUAAUAGUAAAAAAGAUUAAGGAGGCUCUAUUUUGUGUUUUAGUUAAUAGUUUAAGGAUUAAGACAUGAUAUUGACUAAUGAAUAUGAAUGAAUAGUAUUAUCCUAUUGUGCAUUUCACCAAAACUCCUUAUUUAACAGCUAAUAUUAUAUAUAGUUCUACGUUCCUAGUAAUCUUAGUGGAAAGUAAUUAGCUGAAGUUGCUGGUUUUUUGUUGCAAAGUGGUAGUUAAUUACUACACUCACCUAACUAUAUCAGCUUAUAACUCUCGAGAGGUAAAAUAUCUACAUAAAGGUAGUGAUGCUUUAUUUGAAUGUAUUGAUUUUUGUUUAUCUAUAUAAAGACUUGUUUGAGAAGUGCAUGGAGAUUGCUCAGAAGUCUCUUGAUGAUGUACAUGAUGUUGUCCUUGAUAGUUAUUCAGAUGAUUGUUACUAAGAAAGUUAUAGAUUGCCCUUGAUAGUUAUUCAGUGUUGUCCUUGAUUGUCUUAUGGAUUUUGUGCUGGAGUUGUAGAUUUUCUGUUCUUGGUAUUAGAUUUCUUUGUUUUCUCUUUUCAAAUAGGAUAUUGUGAAAAGCUUAUUUUUGGUUUUAUAAUGUAACUGUUUAGGAUGCUGGUUUCAAUCGUAAUUAUUCCAGUGAAGUUUCUUCUCCGGUUGCUGGGCACUUUCCAGGUUAUAUGGACUAUCAAGUAGGAAUGAGACCACAGAUCCCUGUUGAGAGAAAAUGGGCCCUCGGGAUUCAGGUAGAGGAGCGUGGUGUUCCAGUGGAAGAAUUGUUAGAAGCUGAUGAAGUUUUCUGCACUGGAACUGCUGUGGUUAUCAACCCUGUUUUCUCUUUAACCUAUUGGGAUUGUGAUACUGAUUUCUGGUGGCAUGUAUCAAUGAAUUUUUGAAUAAUGAUUUAUUUUUCUGUGUGACAUGUUUGUAUUAAUUCAUCAACACUAAUUCAUCACUAAGUUAUGGAGUUCUAAUUAAUACGAGCUCUUUGUUAUUCACUGCUCUAAUCAGCUGGAGCAGAGGUGCAAGCAUUGGGCGUCAUAGUGAUGAUAACAGACCCUACCUCAAACAGCGGCACUUUGCAGUCAGGAUUCCACUUUCCAUUACUCCUCUCUUUUAUUGAAUUUUAUUUAAUACUGUUGUUGACAAUUUUGGUUCAUCAAAGGUGGUGUGCUAUUUAAAUAAUUAUGGCAAGGAUUUCAAUGGUGGACUCUUUCGUUUCCGGGAUGGCCAGCCAAUGUCAAUUAUGCCAAUGGCUGGAGAUGUUCUGAUGUAUACUGCUGACCAGCGAAACAUUCAUUUUGUUGAUGAGGUCUAGCUAAAGGUGUUGCUGUUGGAAUAUCUAUAGCUGGAACAAGUGGGGUUCUGCCAUUAUUAAUUUGUGCUUGUGUUAGAUAUUUCCAGAAGAAGGAAAAAGAAAAAAUUAAAUUGCCAACAGAAGAUUUUAUAUCAAGUUCAACCCAAGAUGCAUCUAGCAGUGGUGAAUAUGAAACUUUAGGAUCCACAGCUGCUAGUGCUUCUGGCCUUCCAGCAAUUAUGGCGGCAAAAUCGAUGGAAUUCUCUUAUCAAGAACUAGCCGAGGCUACAAAUAACUUCAGCUCUGAUAACAAAAUUGGUCAGGGUAGAUUUGCAGCAGUCUAUUUUGCAGAAUUGAGAGGCCAAGUAAAAGCAAGCCAAUUAUAUCUUUAAUAAUGUUAUAUAAUCUUCCAGAAUUAAAAGGAAAAUAAAUUAUCUUUGACCAUUAGUAGCUUAUCUGCAUAAUUUUAUUGAUAGUUAAAGAUAGUAAAAAUGGUAGUUAGGCAUUUGGCAAACGAAUAAAAUUGAUGAGACGUGGCAAGGGACCACAUACAUAUACAUAAUAAAUAUAAUAAUAAUAAUACUAAUAAUGCUACAAGAUUAGUGGUUCUAUCUAUAUAUGAUUUUGCAAACCCUUUGAUGAAAAUUUCAAUGCUAGUUGGUGAAGAUCAACACAAAAAGUCCACAAAACAACAAAGAGGUGGUGGAGCCAUGAAGGUAUUAAUAUGUCAGCAUGAAAGGUAGCUCUAAAUUAUAAAAUGUUCUUCUAUUGUUGUGUUCUGUUCUAACCAAAAUUCACAUAUCAGAAACCCGUGAGCAUCACAGUGUAACUCUCACAAGUUUUCAUAACAGUGAGUUCCAUAUAGGAAUAAUAACAAGCAAAGAUUUUUGUAUAUAAAUCCAAGGCUAUAAUCUGCAGCUUUUGGAGUGUUUAGCAAAGUUGAAAUUAAAGAUAUCAUAUAUCUCUUGAUGAGUAAGCUUCUAUAAUAUGAUUUUUUUAAGAAUGUUAUGUACCAAACUUAAUCAUCAGCUUUUAAUUCUGGAUGGUUUCAUUUUGCAGGAUAUUAGGAAGAGUUAAUUAUCUUAUGGAGAUUUCAUCUGAAUUGGUAAUAACAUAUUCAUAUCUAUAGUUUAGCACAUGUAUAUUAUCAAAAUCAAUUAUGAAAUUUUUUGCAUUAUUGUAUAUUAUGUAUAUGCAAGGUAUAAUGGAGGAUCCUAAUAGCUUUCUCUGGCACUUAAGCUCUAUUGAUACUUGUGCCUAACUACCAUUUUAACCAUUUAGUUCUUUAUCUCACACUGUUCCUGUUUAUAUCCACCGUGAUGUGAAACCUGCUAACAUAUUAAUAUAUAAAUACUUCCGUGAAAAGGUUAGUUUAUUGUAAUAUUCUUGGUAAUAAUCAUUAUUUUCCAAUUUUUGUUUUCUUUUUUCUGAUGAGACUAAUAUUAAAACUGUCUAAUAAGGUUUUGGAAAUUCACCAGGUUGCAAAUUUUGGGCUAACUAAACUUAGGGAAGUUGGAAGCUUUUUAUCACUUCAUACUCGUCUUGUGGGAACAUUUGGAUACAUGCCUCCAGUGUAAGAACUUAGUUGUUAAUUGUCUUAGAACAUAACAGUAAGUAUUAGAAAAUAUAAAAUAAGUCAACGAAAGUUGUGGUUGAUACAAUUUAUAGAUUCUGAAUGUCUAAGAACUUGGUUUGACAUGACUGAAUUUAUAGAUUCUUGGGUUGGGCAUAAUGUCAGAUGUGAGUGUUAUCUCUACUUUAGUGACAUCUUUUUUCCAUUCUUGAUUCAAAAUGAUAUCUUCCUUUGAUUUUGGUCAUCUCUGCUUUGUAUAUUAUUGAUAUUUUGCACCCAAUUUAAUGUUAUCUCUACUUUAGCGGAUCAAAAUGCUUCAACCAGCUAAAGGUUGUUAUGGGCGCAGCACCAACAAUACUUCUGGCAAUCAAAUCAGAAGAAAACAAGCUACAAGAAGUCAUGGUUGGAUUAGCAGCAAAUGUUUUCACAUUCAUGUCCUCUCAGGAAUCAAGCUAUGUAUUUCAAGAAGCCGGAAUCAUUGAAGUUAACUGGCAAGUAUACUAGUACAUAUUCUCAAGAAGCACAAGUAUCCGGCAACAAAGGUGCUGAGGAUAAGGAGGUUUGCCAUAGAGUUUGCGAUUUGGAUGAUGAAAGACAAAGCAGAAAACAUAGAUACCUUCAAGCAUAUGGGAAUGGAGAAGGUGCUGGAAGGUGUAUUAGAAAUCACAUCAGAGCUUGAAAGCUUCAAUGUUUUCUCUGGUACUGUUGGAUUGAACAGGCACAAUCUAACAAUUCACUCACUGGUUGAGACAGCCUUCAAGUUGCUGGAAAAUAGGUGAAGUAAUACAUCACUUUUGAACCAUAUUGUAAAAUCAGUAAUCCAUGUUAACGUUGAGCAAAAAUUGUAAAUUUGUAACACUGUACACUGUUGUUUGUUUUGUGUAAAUGUGUAUUAUGCCACAUUAAUUUUGAUUUUGGUUUUGGUUUUUGGUUCUGAUGGUUAUUUAUUUAUUUUUCCCUCUAGAUUUUGAUUCUUCAGUCGAAGAAUCAAGGCUUUAUUGAUUUAUAUCAAUAAGAACC
Arachis duranensis is the source of this 4482-nucleotide RNA transcript. RefSeq lists it as uncharacterized. The transcript is spliced from 7 exons. The record is from RefSeq and is a predicted model, not a curated record. NCBI's taxonomy places the organism in Eukaryota, Viridiplantae, Streptophyta, Magnoliopsida, Fabales, Fabaceae.